CGGCAACGGCCCAAAACUCAAAGGACUUGGCGGUGCUUUAUACCCUUCUAGAGGAGCCUGUUCUGUAAUCGAUAAACCCCGAUAAACCUCACCAAUCCUUGCUAAUACAGUCUAUAUACCGCCAUCUUCAGCAAACCCUAAAAAAGGAAUAAAAGUAAGCAUAAUCAUUACACAUAAAAACGUUAGGUCAAGGUGUAACCUAUGGAAUGGGAAGAAAUGGGCUACAUUUUCUAAUUCAAGAA
RNAcentral lists this ribosomal RNA (242 nucleotides) under Hippotragus niger (sable antelope). RNAcentral's name for it is "partial 12S ribosomal RNA". The record is from RNAcentral. Lineage: Eukaryota; Metazoa; Chordata; Mammalia; Artiodactyla; Bovidae.